RNAcentral lists this ribosomal RNA (497 nucleotides) under uncultured bacterium. Its description in RNAcentral is "partial 16S ribosomal RNA". It matches the Rfam family "Bacterial small subunit ribosomal RNA", at positions 28 to 507 of the family's 1533-position model. The record is from RNAcentral.
GAUGAACGCUGGCGGCGUGCCUAAUACAUGCAAGUCGAGCGAACAGACGAGGAGCUUGCUCCUCUGACGUUAGCGGCGGACGGGUGAGUAACACGUGGAUAACCUACCUAUAAGACUGGGAUAACUUCGGGAAACCGGAGCUAAUGCCGGAUAAUAUAUUGAACCGCAUGGUUCAAUAGUGAAAGACGGUUUUGCUGUCACUUAUAGAUGGAUCCGCGCCGCAUUAGCUAGUUGGUAAGGUAACGGCUUACCAAGGCAACGAUGCGUAGCCGACCUGAGAGGGUGAUCGGCCACACUGGAACUGAGACACGGUCCAGACUCCUACGGGAGGCAGCAGUAGGGCAUCUUCCGCAAUGGGCGAAAGCCUGACGGAGCAACGCCGCGUGAGUGAUGAAGGUCUUCGGAUCGUAAAACUCUGUUAUUAGGGAAGAACAAAUGUGUAAGUAACUAUGCACGUCUUGACGGUACCUAAUCAGAGAGCCACGGCUAACUACGUG